RNAcentral lists this long non-coding RNA (281 nucleotides) under Elaeis guineensis (African oil palm). Its description in RNAcentral is "long non-coding RNA (EGUI_LNC042017)". The record is from RNAcentral. Lineage: Eukaryota; Viridiplantae; Streptophyta; Magnoliopsida; Arecales; Arecaceae.
CCUUUUUGGAUAAAGAUCAAAUCAGAUUUAAUCUAAUUUUGAUUGGAUCAAAGUUGGAGUCCUACUUUGAUUAGAUUUGAUCCUAUCAAACCUAGUCUUAAUCAAACUAUGGAUGCUGUUGGGUAUAAAAUAACCCCAGUCGAAGUUCGUAAGAGGCCAACCCUCCCAGAGCUCUUUUGGCUUCCGACCUUGUGCGGCGUCUUUCUGAACUUUUCCGACCGUCCAAGCUUCCAUAGUACUAUCCAGACUCCUCCAGCAGUCGACCUUCCACAGUGUCCUCC